RNAcentral lists this ribosomal RNA (533 nucleotides) under uncultured bacterium. RNAcentral describes it as "partial 16S ribosomal RNA". It matches the Rfam family "Bacterial small subunit ribosomal RNA", at positions 357 to 883 of the family's 1533-position model. The record is from RNAcentral.
UGGGAAUUUGGACAAUGGGCGAAAGCCUGAUCCAGCAAUGCCGCGUGUGUGAAGAAGGCCUUCGGGUUGUAAAGCACUUUUGUCCGGAAAGAAAUCCUUGGCUCUAAUACAGUCGGGGGAUGACGGUACCGGAAGAAUAAGCACCGGCUAACUACGUGCCAGCAGCCGCGGUAAUACGUAGGGUGCAAGCGUUAAUCGGAAUUACUGGGCGUAAAGCGUGCGCAGGCGGUUUGCUAAGACCGAUGUGAAAUCCCCGGGCUCAACCUGGGAACUGCAUUGGUGACUGGCAGGCUAGAGUAUGGCAGAGGGGGGUAGAAUUCCACGUGUAGCAGUGAAAUGCGUAGAGAUGUGGAGGAAUACCGAUGGCGAAGGCAGCCCCCUGGGCCAAUACUGACGCUCAUGCACGAAAGCGUGGGGAGCAAACAGGAUUAGAUACCCUGGUAGUCCACGCCCUAAACGAUGUCAACUAGUUGUUGGGGAUUCAUUUCCUUAGUAACGUAGCUAACGCGUGAAGUUGACCGCCUGGGGAGUAC